GAUGGAGGUCAUGGAGAACUCGUCAAAUCCCAACAUCAAUUAUAUACCAGAUUGAUUCAACUCGAAUUCACUCAUGAAUCUUGUGAAAACUCUUUUUUAAUAUGCACACUUGCUUUGGCCAAAGACUUCCGUAACUUAGUCUCACGAAUUGCAUAGGACUUCUCUUUUUCUACGAAGAUCAAUAGAUUCUAUCUAAAUACAUCC
This 204-nucleotide long non-coding RNA is filed under the name Elaeis guineensis (African oil palm). RNAcentral's name for it is "long non-coding RNA (EGUI_LNC049278)". The record is from RNAcentral. Lineage: Eukaryota; Viridiplantae; Streptophyta; Magnoliopsida; Arecales; Arecaceae.